CAGCACCUCAAGUGGUCAGGAUGAUUAUUGGGCCUAAAGCAUCCGUAGCCGGCUCUGUAAGUUUUCGGUUAAAUCUAUGCGCUCAACGUAUGGGCUGCCGAAAAUACUGCAGAGAUAGGGAGUGGGAGAGGUAGACGGUACUCGGUAGGAAGGGGUAAAAUCGUUUGAUCUAUCGAUGACCACCUGUGGCGAAGGCGGUCUACCAGAACACGUUCGACGGUGAGGGAUGAAAGCUGGGGGAGCAAACCGGAUUAGAUACCCGGGUAGUCCCAGCCGUAAACGAUGCAGACUCGAUGAUGCAUUGGCAUAUAGCCAGUGCAGUGUCGCAGGGAAGCCGUUAAGUCUGCCGCCUGGGAAGUACGUACGCAAGUAUGAAACUUAAAGGAAUUGGCGGGGGAGCACCACAAGGGGUGAAGCCUGCGGUUCAAUUGGAGUCAACGCCAGAAAUCUUACCCGGAGAGACAGCAGAAUGAAGGUCAAGCUGAAGACUUUACCAGACAAGCUGAGAGGUGGUGCAUGGCCGUCGCCAGCUCGUGCCGUGAGAUGUCCUGUUAAGUCAGGUAACGAGCGAGAUCCCUGCCACUAGUUGCUAUCAUUAUUCUCAGGAAUAGUGGGGCGAAUUAGUGGGACUGCCGUUGUUAAAACGGAGGAAGGAAGGGGCUACGGCAGGUCAGUAUGCCCCGAAACUCUGGGGCCACACGCGGGCUGCAAUGGUAGCGACAAUGAGUUCCAAACUCGAAAGAGAGUGGCAAUCCCUAAACGCUACCACAGUUAUGACUGAGGGCUGCAACUCGCCCUCACGAAUAUGGAAUCCCUAGUAACCGCGUGUCAUUACCGCGCGGUGAAUACGUCCCUGCUCCUU
This 862-nucleotide ribosomal RNA is filed under the name uncultured organism. RNAcentral describes it as "bacterial SSU rRNA". It matches the Rfam family "Archaeal small subunit ribosomal RNA", at positions 477 to 1338 of the family's 1478-position model. The record is from RNAcentral.